CCCAGACUCCUACGGGAGGCAGCAGUGAGGAAUAUUGGUCAAUGGGCGCGAGCCUGAACCAGCCAAGUCGCGUGAGGGAUGACGGUCCUACGGAUUGUAAACCUCUUUUGCCGGGGAGCAAGCGUGCGUUCGUGAACGCGCGUCGAGAGUACCCGGAGAAAAAGCAUCGGCUAACUCCGUGCCAGCAGCCGCGGUAAUACGGAGGAUGCGAGCGUUAUCCGGAUUUAUUGGGUUUAAAGGGUGCGCAGGCGGCGAGUUAAGUCAGCGGUAAAAUUGCGGGGCUCAACCCCGACAAGCCGUUGAAACUGGCUUGCUAGAGUGGGCGAGAAGUACGCGGAAUGCGUGGUGUAGCGGUGAAAUGCAUAGAUAUCACGCAGAACUCCGAUUGCGAAGGCAGCGUACCGGCGCCCAACUGACGCUGAAGCACGAAGGCGUGGGUAUCGAACAGGAUUAGAUACCCCAGUACU
RNAcentral lists this ribosomal RNA (467 nucleotides) under uncultured bacterium. RNAcentral describes it as "bacterial SSU rRNA". It matches the Rfam family "Bacterial small subunit ribosomal RNA", at positions 330 to 794 of the family's 1533-position model. The record is from RNAcentral.